UACGUAGGGUGCAAGCGUUGUCCGGAAUUAUUGGGCGUAAAGAGCGUGUAGGCGGCCUGAAAGGUCAGCUGUGAAAACUCGAGGCUCAACCUCGAGACGUCGGUUGAAACCAUCUGGCUAGAGUCCGGAAGAGGAGAGUGGAAUUCCCGGUGUAGCGGUGAAAUGCGCAGAUAUCGGGAAGAACACCCGUGGCGAAGGCGGCUCUCUGGGCCUUACCUGACGCUGAGGAGCGAAAGCGUGGGGAGCGAACAGG
This 253-nucleotide ribosomal RNA is filed under the name uncultured bacterium. RNAcentral describes it as "partial 16S ribosomal RNA". It matches the Rfam family "Bacterial small subunit ribosomal RNA", at positions 524 to 776 of the family's 1533-position model. The record is from RNAcentral.